GACGAACGCUGGCGGCGUGCUUAACACAUGCAAGUCGAACGGAAAGGCCCGGCUCUUGUGGGGUUCUCGAUUGGCGAACGGGUGAGUAACACGUGAGUAACCUGCCCCUGACUUUGUGAUAUCUUCUGGAAACUGGGGCGAAUACCCGAUAGGAUCUCCUGAUCCAUGUUGGUGGUUGGAAAGUUUCGGCGUUUGUGGAUGGACUGGCGGCUUAUCAGCUGGUUGGUGUCGUAGUGGCGUACCAAGGCUUUGACGGGUAGGCGGCCUGAGAGGGUUACCGGCCACAAUGGGACUACGGUACGGCGCAGAAUGCUACGGGAGGCAGUAGUGGGGAAUAUUGCACAAUGGGCCGGCGCCUGAUGCAGCGGCGCCGCGUGCGGGAAGCCGGCCUACGGGUUGUAAACAGAUUUCGACUGUGACGAAGAGUGAGUGACGGUAACGGGUAAAGAAGCACCGGCUAACUACGUG
RNAcentral lists this ribosomal RNA (468 nucleotides) under uncultured bacterium. RNAcentral describes it as "partial 16S ribosomal RNA". It matches the Rfam family "Bacterial small subunit ribosomal RNA", at positions 28 to 507 of the family's 1533-position model. The record is from RNAcentral.